This 498-nucleotide ribosomal RNA is filed under the name uncultured bacterium. RNAcentral's name for it is "partial 16S ribosomal RNA". It matches the Rfam family "Bacterial small subunit ribosomal RNA", at positions 30 to 523 of the family's 1533-position model. The record is from RNAcentral.
AUUGAACGCUGGCGGCAUGCUUUACACAUGCAAGUCGAACGGUAACAGGCCGCAAGGUGCUGACGAGUGGCGAACGGGUGAGUAAUGCAUCGGAACGUGCCCAGUCGUGGGGGAUAACGCAGCGAAAGCUGUGCUAAUACCGCAUACGAUCUAUGGAUGAAAGAGGGGGACCGUAAGGCCUCGCGCGAUUGGAGCGGCCGAUGUCAGAUUAGCUAGUUGGUGGGGUAAAGGCCCACCAAGGCGACGAUCUGUAGCUGGUCUGAGAGGACGACCAGCCACACUGGGACUGAGACACGGCCCAGACUCCUACGGGAGGCAGCAGUGGGGAAUUUUGGACAAUGGGCGCAAGCCUGAUCCAGCAAUGCCGCGUGCAGGAAGAAGGCCUUCGGGUUGUAAACUGCUUUUGUACGGAACGAAACGGUCUUGGUUAAUACCCUGGGCUAAUGACGGUACCGUAAGAAUAAGCACCGGCUAACUACGUGCCAGCCGCCGCGGUAA